GUGCUCACUUCAGCAGCACAUAUUCUAAAAUUGGAAUGAUACAGAGAAGAUUAUCAUGGCCCCUGUGCUUGGCUGAUGUGAAAAUUCCUGAAACAUCCCAUACUUUU
Sorex araneus (European shrew) is the source of this 107-nucleotide small nuclear RNA. Lineage: Eukaryota; Metazoa; Chordata; Mammalia; Eulipotyphla; Soricidae. The record is from Ensembl.